UCCUCCCUCUACCCACAGGGGAGUCUGUGCUUGUUUCUCAAUAAAUUUCCACUUUGCUAUACCACCUUUCAUCCAUGGUUUCAUUCUUCAAGUCCACCAGACAAGAGCCUGGGAACCAUCCUGCCCAGA
This is a long non-coding RNA of Pipistrellus kuhlii (Kuhl's pipistrelle), 129 nucleotides long. RefSeq lists it as uncharacterized. The transcript has 3 exons. The record is from RefSeq and is a predicted model, not a curated record. Lineage: Eukaryota; Metazoa; Chordata; Mammalia; Chiroptera; Vespertilionidae.